UACGUAGGGGGCAAGCGUUGUCCGGAUUUCCUGGGUGUCAAGGGUGCUCCGGUGGCUUGGCAAGUCAGUGGUGAAAUCUGAGAGCUUAACUCUCAAACUGCCAUUGAUACUUCUUAGCUUGAGUACGGAAGAGGCUGAUGGAAUUUCAGGUGUAGCAGUGAAAUGCGUAGAUAUCUGAAAGAACACCAGUGGCGAAGGCGGUCAGCUGGUCCGUUACUGACACUAAAGCACGAAAGCGUGGGGAGCAAACAGG
This 253-nucleotide ribosomal RNA is filed under the name uncultured bacterium. RNAcentral describes it as "partial 16S ribosomal RNA". It matches the Rfam family "Bacterial small subunit ribosomal RNA", at positions 524 to 776 of the family's 1533-position model. The record is from RNAcentral.